Molecule: long non-coding RNA, 1269 nt
Filed under: Homo sapiens (human)
Lineage: Eukaryota; Metazoa; Chordata; Mammalia; Primates; Hominidae
Description: PCBP1 antisense RNA 1
Source: RNAcentral
CUUUUUUGCCGGUUCUUCCCGCUGAGGAAGUGUCGCUCAAGACGCUGGCCUAUGAGUUGUGAUUUCUGCCUUUUCCCCUUCCUCCUUGGGCUAAGCCAGACCAGAAAGGGCCCCGUGCGCAACGUGCUUCACAAUCUCUCAGGGAAAGCGGCUAACGUGGCGCUACUCCGCCUCCCCUGUUCCUUACCCUUGGGGCGGCCGCCAUGUUUCCUGAACACAAAAUGGCGACACGUGGUUAGCAUUCGUCGCCAACGAGAAAUUGGGGUCGGCCCGAAAGCUCUAGAAUGCACCCCUCUUCCUCCCCGGGGCCUUCCACCUCCGCGAGUUUUAUGACUUAAAAAAGCCCACAGGCUGGUCUGAAGGUCGGAGGCCUAAUUUUAACGCGUUUUCCUCCCUUUAAUUUGAAACGGGAACGCGAAUGACUGUAAAAUGUGGGCACAAUAUUUAAUCUCUCGCCUUUUUAAAGCUUAAUAGUGGAUAAUAGGGGGGCAGUAUCAAGGGAUAAUUUGGGUCCCCACAGUACCAAAGCAUUUAGAAACCUCUGUUUAAUUUAAGGAAUGAGAUAAGUUACUGCUUUUCUAGACUUCCUAGCAUGGGCUGUUGUGCUGGAGAGAACGAGAGCUACGAAGAGACUACAGUGCCUCUGACUUUUUCAUAGGACAGUUGGCCGAGGAAGACAAACAUAAAGAUGAAGUGCUUAAUUCAAGGUCACACAAUGUCGGGGAUGGACCUCCAGAUUUCCUUACUGACCUGCAUUAUCUUGUGGAUACCUGAGUGAAUUCCACACCACCCAUUUUAUAGAUGAAACCACUGAGACAUGGAGCAAUUGACUGAGUAGUCACUGCCCCACCCCUGCCUGGAGCCUCACACAUGACUCGCCUCCUCUCAGUGACCACAGGAAAACAAGCUCAGGGCUCCCACUGAUUGUACAUUAUGGUCACAGAAUUUUCCACACUCCUUGACAGAGGUGCUUAACCCUUAUCCAUCAGCAUUCUCAGACAGCACCUCCGGUUAGGGACAGUAUCUGACCGUCCGACAUCCCUGCAGCCCCCAUGUGUCACACAGACUCAGCCUCAGGUAGAUGGUUUCCGUAGAUGGUGGCUUUCUUUGGACCCUUGACAUCAACCAGUUACUAUUUGGUAAGAACUUAAGUCAUUCCAGUGCCUCUCUCAGAAGCAUUUGCAUUUAGAAUUUCAGGUGUCAUAGAAGUAAUGAAAGACGUUGCAUUCCUGAAGGAAUGAAUAAAUUAUUCAUUUUGUUGUUCUGGAA